UACGUAGGGCGCAAGCGUUGUCCGGAAUUGUUGGGCGUAAAGAGCUCGUAGGCGGCUUGUCACGUCGGGUGUGAAAGCCCGGGGCUUAACCCCGGGUCUGCAUUCGAUACGGGCUAGCUAGAGUGUGGUAGGGGAGAUCGGAAUUCCUGGUGUAGCGGUGAAAUGCGCAGAUAUCAGGAGGAACACCGGUGGCGAAGGCGGAUCUCUGGGCCAUUACUGACGCUGAGGAGCGAAAGCGUGGGGAGCGAACAGG
This 253-nucleotide ribosomal RNA is filed under the name uncultured bacterium. RNAcentral describes it as "partial 16S ribosomal RNA". It matches the Rfam family "Bacterial small subunit ribosomal RNA", at positions 524 to 776 of the family's 1533-position model. The record is from RNAcentral.